Molecule: non-coding RNA, 4339 nt
Organism: Sturnus vulgaris (Common starling)
Lineage: Eukaryota; Metazoa; Chordata; Aves; Passeriformes; Sturnidae
Source: RefSeq, a predicted model, not a curated record
CCCAUCCCGGCGGUGCGGGGAGCGGGCUCUGCUGCUCCGAGCUGUGCCCAGUUAAUUCCUGAAAUCACCCAUCCCGGCGGUGCGGGGAGCGGGCUCUGCUGCUCCGAGCUGUGCCCAGUUAAUUCCUGAAAUCACCCAUCCCGGCGGUGCGGGGAGCGGGCUCUGCUGCUCCGAGCUGUGCCCAGUUAAUUCCUGAAAUCACCCAUCCCGGCGGUGCGGGGAGCGGGCUCUGCUGCUCCGAGCUGUGCCCAGUUAAUUCCUGAAAUCACCCAUCCCGGCGGUGCGGGGAGCGGGCUCUGCCGCUCCGAGCUGUGCCCGGUUAAUGUACGCAGGGGAAACGACUCGUGUCUCCGAGUCGGUGAAUCCAAAACUGGCCAAACUAAGGAUAGUUAAGAUUAGUGGGGAGGGGUCAGGGCAAGGGACAGGGAUGCCCCACAAGAAUGCAGAUUCUGUUUGUACAUGACAGGUGUGAAAUACACUCAGUAAGUUAGGAAGAGCUUUCCACUGACCUUGUAUAUGGGUUUCUUGGGCAGAUGGGGUUGAUGGAAGUAGUUAAUAGCAUUAAGGUUGCUUUUUGCACUUAUAUAUCAUGGUGACUAUUCCACUUUCUUCCAGACUGAUUCUGCAGAGUCCUGAUCUGGUAUUUCCUAUUCAAAUUUCACCUCGAUUCAGCUUUUAACUUACAUGUUUAGAGCUAGACUUCUGGGGCAAAGUUGUCAGUAGGGACUUGCCUGACCUCUGCAAGAUAGCUGUGUGUCUGACCAGAGAAGUGGCUGCCUCUCCAAGCCCAUGGAGUCCACGGAGCCCUAAAGGAGGGAAGCAUCGAGGGAAGGAAAGGCAGAAAAAAAUUUAAAGCUGCCAGGGCAGAGUGGUGUUCAGCUGAGUCUGCAGUGUCAGCAGUGUGGUGUAUUAGAAUAAAUUUUGCUCAGGUAUGCUAUUCUCAAGGCAUCCUUAAUUACUGCAGUGGUUGGACUACUCCCAAAUUGGAUGAGGCUUGUGAGAAAAAUAGUGAGUGGUCUAGACCUGUAUUUGCAAUUUAUAUCUUUCUUGUUUGAGUUUCCAGUAAUAAACAAGGGGGGCUUUUCUGUCUUAGCAAGACUGUUAAAGAUAAUUCCACAUAUAAAGAGCCCUCUGGGGGCAAGGUUGGUGGUGAUAACAUUGAGCUUUUCUGCACUGAGAGUGAGGAAUUUCUGGUUAUGCAAGCAAGCAUUAUGCACUUGUAAUUCCUCUUUUUGGGCACAGUGUGCUAUAUGGGAAGUUUAAGAAUCUAUGUGACUUCUUUGCUUUUUUCCAAGCAUUACAUUAUGUACAUGGUCACAGGAUGGCUUCUCGUUGUUUUGGGAGAUUUUGUUUGGUUUGUGGUUUUUUUUUUUGUUUUGGUUUUUUAAAAAGCUGCAUUUGUAUUUUAGAUAUCUACUUGAAGCACUGAUAUUAGUGGCAGCUUCAUCUUGCUCUAAGUUGGUGCAAAAGUAAAAUAAAACAGAGGAAUGUUUGCUGCAGAAAUGGAUUGUUUAUCUUUUAUGCUUGUAUGGAAAUUAGUGUUUUUUAGGCAGUUGCAUUAUUAUACAACAGGGACUUUGAAGAAAAAUAUAGCCACCUAACUGGUGAAAGGAGUUUCAAAUCAACCUGUGUAACCACUUGCUUUAAAAACAAAAUCUGGAAUACCUUUUAAUUCUAGUAAAAACUUUCUUUUAUGCACAAGUGGCAAUUUGAGACUGAAAACUGUCUAAUUUUCUCUUAAUUCAGGAUGGCAAGAAAAUAAUUGGGAUAAAUGCUAAAACAGCAAUGAGAUGAUAAUGUUCCAGUUUCUUAAGGUACCUAUUGCUGUGUAAUUGAACAAAGGUUCAAAUCUUUAAAAAAACCUUUUUUUUCAUCUUCAAUGGAAGUUACUAGAUAUUGAGCAGUCUUUUUGAGUUGUUGAAAUAAAUGUGAAAAUACCUGAACCUAAAAUUAUUUUAAGGUUAGUCUGUGCAGCUUAGGAUAAUAUAUAAUGAUGGUUUUGGGGUUUUUUUUAAAGUCUUGUUAUCUCUGGCUUUCUUAAAGGUGCCAGAUUGACCUUUUAGAGUGUGCCAUAGAUCUCAGCUUUCCUUACAGUAGUAUGUGCUGCAAGACUCUGCAUCCUCUACCGAGACAUCUGCAGCUCAGAUUAAUUAUGUAUGCUUGGUAUCCAUUGCCUUCACCUUCUACCCAUCUUUUUAUGCUUCCCUCAUGCUUGGAGCUUCAUUACCAACUGUGUCUUCUGGGAAUAGGGGAAAGGAAAACACCUGGAAGGUUUACUAAGUGCCAGUUGGUAAACCAAAGGGGAGAUGUACCUGAAAGAAUAGAGAAAAUAAUACAGGAGAGGUGGGAAUGGAGAAAUGGGUGGGCUCAGAAGCCAGCACAAAGCACAGGAACACAAAAGAUGCUACUAAAAUCCUUUCCAGUAAGGAUCUCAGUUUGAGUAGCCUUGUAAAGUCACAGUACCAGUAGUUGCUGUGCACAGUAGAUUUUAGCUACCAGAAUUCUUUUAUGAUUUGGGGGAUUUUGUGUGCUUGUGCUUUGUUUUAUUUAUGAGCUUUCCUUUUGGCUUAUGCUGGCCACUGAAAAGUCUGCUUUAUAGAAGGGAAGGAUAUUUAUAAAUGCUAACUUUAUUUCAGGAUAUUCAUUCUGCUGUUUCUGUGAUUAGUGGAGAAAAGGCCAUGACCCUGGGAGGAUGUCUAUCCUCUAGACAUCUAACUUUGUCUAGGCUGAAGUGAGCUUUAGAAACACCACUUGAUAUCCAAUAUGUGAAUUACUUUUACUAAGCUUGCGAGUAGACCUUUCUUUAACUGUGCACUUCCCUUGUAAGGUGUCUUUGGUUCUCACACAGUCACGCGUGAGAAAUCCAUGACUCUAAUAAUACUUUUGAAUAAAAUAAUUGGAUAAUGUUAUAUUUGUGUCAAUACCUUUCUCUUCCUAGCACAAGUGAUUCAGUCACUUCUUGAGUGACCCUGAAAUAACAGGUUUAAUGUUAAUUGUACUUGCUGUUGUGUGUCUCUUAAUAUGAUAACUCAAUAACUGAUUUUUUUUUUUCUCUUUUCUGCUGUCAUUUCUGCCUGCCUGCUUAUCUCCAUUGGAAUGUGGUUCUUCAAUUGUUCUGAUAAACUUCUGACACAGGUAAAUACCAGUCUGUUUGUAUCUGUAUUUACUGAGUGUGCCCUUUGCUUGGCAGUAUGCAAUGGAUCUUGAAUCAGACAUGCCACACAGCUGUAGACUGGGAAAGGGAAAUGCUACUGCCCUGAUGUACAUCAUUUAUUUCCCUAUCUGCUGUUUCUUAUUCCUCCCCCACCUUUAACAGCAGUAAAAUAGCCAGCUAGAAAAUAAGAGUAUUUCAUAUUUGCUUUUUAGUGGUGUUUCCUGGGAAAACUUAUGCUCGUAAUGGAGUUGGCGUGUGUGUAAGGAGGGGGAAAGCAGCCUAGAAAGAAGAAUGUUUAUACAGUCUCACUCUUUCCACUCUGCCAGUCAUUCAUUUCUGCCUUCACUUUUAUAUUGUUCACGUGGAGUAGCAGGUGGUAAUUUUUGAUUUUCCUUUGGCUCCAAUGAAAAGGAGAAGGCAAAAACAUGUGGGCAGGAUGAAGUAGGCGAAGCUUUCAUGGCAGUUAGUUGGAGCCCGUUGUGAAAUACAAUAGAGGAAUAUGUGUAAUGGAGUGAGAGUAAAGGAAUGUUAUUCAACUUGUCUUGUUAGCUGCAUUUGUGCCUUUUAUUAAAACACGUAAAGUUCAGCCUUUGUCAGUGGAAGGCCUGUUGCCAUGAAUGCUGAGCAGGUUACUUACAUCUUUGGACUUAGCUCAGUAUGUAUGUAGUGAUAAGCAUCACUGCAAAGGUUUAAUGGGAUAUUGAACUGUUCACCAAAGGGGAAAGUAAUAAACUUCGAUUGGUUUGGGUUUUUUUUUCUCCCCCAGCAGCCUUGGAAACAAAAUUCUUGGUUCUUUUAACUUGAUAAAUUGAUAUUCAGAAGCCAGAAGUACAGAGAGUUUUUGGAAUACGUUAGAAUCCAUCAUCCUUGCCACUUUUGGUGCAUUUUUCAGUAAACAAUAUGAGGCAUUGGCCAUUAUCAACUACAGCUGAAAUGCACAUAGGUCAAUAAACCGGUGUUGCAUCUAUCCAUCUGUCCUUCCCACUCUAAAUGGCUGUGCUCUGGAGUGAAAAUACCAGCAUGUUGUUCAGAGCUCACACGGGAAUGCUGCUCUCCUAAAAAAUCCUCACGCAUGUGGUGGCCUGGUCAGUUGUGACUGUGGAAAGAUGGAUGUAGGCUGGGUUUUGCUUUGAAUGGUGUUUAACCAACCUGCACUGAAGGGCAGCUGCUGUGCUGGCUAUACCA